Molecule: transfer RNA, 74 nt
Filed under: Aspergillus coremiiformis
Lineage: Eukaryota; Fungi; Ascomycota; Eurotiomycetes; Eurotiales; Aspergillaceae
Description: tRNA-Val
Source: RNAcentral
GGCCGGAUGGUGUAGCUGGUUAUCACGUAUGCUUAACACGCAUAAGGUCCUGGGAUCGAGCCCCAGUCUGGUCA